RNAcentral lists this transfer RNA (73 nucleotides) under Bacteroidetes bacterium HLUCCA01. RNAcentral describes it as "tRNA-Thr". It matches the Rfam family "tRNA". Rfam says of the family: Transfer RNA (tRNA) molecules are approximately 80 nucleotides in length. Their secondary structure includes four short double-helical elements and three loops (D, anti-codon, and T loops). Lineage: Bacteria; Pseudomonadati; Bacteroidota. RNAcentral also lists the same sequence under 4 other names. The record is from RNAcentral.
GCCGAAGUAGCUCAGCUGGUAGAGCAACGCUCUCGUAAAGCGUAGGUCGUCGGUUCGAAUCCGAUCUUCGGCU